Molecule: ribosomal RNA, 975 nt
Filed under: Bacteroidales bacterium enrichment culture clone EC8-10-1_C9
Lineage: Bacteria; Pseudomonadati; Bacteroidota; Bacteroidia; Bacteroidales
Description: bacterial SSU rRNA
Rfam family: Bacterial small subunit ribosomal RNA
Source: RNAcentral
UCGGCUAACUCCGUGCCAGCAGCCGCGGUAAUACGGAGGAUGCGAGCGUUAUCCGGAUUUAUUGGGUUUAAAGGGUGCGUAGGCUGACAUGUAAGUCAGUGGUGAAAGACCCCGGCUUAACCGGGGGGUUGCCAUUGAAACUGUAUGUCUUGAGUGUAAUCGAAGUGGGCGGAAUGAGGGGUGUAGCGGUGAAAUGCAUAGAUAUUCCUCAGAACACCGAUAGCGAAGGCAGCUCACUAGCUUACAACUGACGCUGAGGCACGAAAGCGUGGGUAUCAAACAGGAUUAGAUACCCUGGUAGUCCACGCUGUAAACGAUGAUCACUAGCUGUUUGCGAUACACAGUAAGCGGCUAAGCGAAAGCGAUAAGUGAUCCACCUGGGGAGUACGUCGGCAACGAUGAAACUCAAAGGAAUUGACGGGGGCCCGCACAAGCGGAGGAGCAUGUGGUUUAAUUCGAUGAUACGCGAGGAACCUUACCUGGGCUUGAACGUAUGGUGCAUGGGUGUGAAAGCAUCCUUUCUUCGGACUCCAUACGAGGUGCUGCAUGGCUGUCGUCAGCUCGUGCCGUGAGGUGUUAGGUUAAGUCCUGCAACGAGCGCAACCCCUGUUUCCAGUUGCCAUCACGUAAAGGUGGGGACUCUGGAGAGACUGCCUACGCAAGUAGAGAGGAAGGUGGGGAUGACGUCAAGUCAGCACGGCCCUUACGUCCAGGGCUACACACGUGCUACAAUGGUCGGUACAGAGGGCAGCUAGGUAGCGAUACCAUGCUAAUCCCCAAAGCCGGCCUAAGUUCGGAUCGGAGUCUGCAACCCGACUUCGUGAAGCUGGAUUCGCUAGUAAUCGUAUAUCAGCCAUGAUACGGUGAAUACGUUCCCGGGCCUUGUACACACCGCCCGUCAAGCCAUGGAAGUCAGGGGUACCUGAAGUCGGUAACCGAAAGGAUCCGCCUAGGGUAAACCUGAUGACUGGGGCU